This 520-nucleotide ribosomal RNA is filed under the name uncultured Glomus. RNAcentral's name for it is "SSU rRNA". It matches the Rfam family "Eukaryotic small subunit ribosomal RNA", at positions 569 to 1093 of the family's 1831-position model. Lineage: Eukaryota; Fungi; Glomeromycota; Glomeromycetes; Glomerales; Glomeraceae. The record is from RNAcentral.
AGCAGCCGCGGUAAUUCCAGCUCCAAUAGCGUAUAUUAAAGUUGUUGCAGUUAAAAAGCUCGUAGUUGAAUUUCGGGAUCAGUUUGUUGGUCGUGCUUCGGUACGUACUGUCAUUACUGGUUUCUACCUUCUGAAGAACCUUGAUGUCAUUAAUUUGGUGUCUUGGGGAAUCAGGACUGUUACUUUGAAAAAAUUAGAGUGUUUAAAGCAAGCAUACGCUUGAAUACAUUAGCAUGGAAUAAUGAAAUAGGACGUUUGAUUCUAUUUUGUUGGUUUCUAGGAUCGACGUAAUGAUUAAUAGGGAUAGUUGGGGGCAUUAGUAUUCAAUUGUCAGAGGUGAAAUUCUUGGAUUUAUUGAAGACUAACUACUGCGAAAGCAUUUGCCAAGGAUGUUUUCAUUAAUCAAGAACGAAAGUUAGGGGAUCGAAGACGAUCAGAUACCGUCGUAGUCUUAACCAUAAACUAUGCCGACUAGGGAUCGGAUGAUGUUAUUUUUAAUGACUCAUUCGGCGCCUUACGG